Molecule: long non-coding RNA, 204 nt
Filed under: Nicotiana benthamiana
Lineage: Eukaryota; Viridiplantae; Streptophyta; Magnoliopsida; Solanales; Solanaceae
Description: long non-coding RNA (NBEN_LNC000144)
Source: RNAcentral
UACUAACAUAGAAUGAUGCCAAAUGUUAGUAAAAACAUGACAACCAUAAUAACGGUUAUUUUAGCAAAUCAUAUUACUUAAAAACAUAUCAACUGCUAAUUUUUAACAAACCAAUAGUUGUAUUAAAAACAUGAAUCAUUUAUUUUUUUUAAGAUUAUACCAACUGUUAUUCAAACCAAAAAUAAUAUUCAUCAAAACAUGAAU